GGAUGAAAUAGGACAUCGAAGGCUACUUACAAGUGAGGGAAGGGAGGUGGAUAGAGAAGGAGUUAACUCCAGGGAUGCCAUCCUCCCCCAAUCUAAUCUUUAUGAUCAUCAAUCCUGAAAAAGUAUCUGGAGUUGGUUAUACAUCAGAGAUCAGAAAAGGGAAUGGUCUCCCUCAGAAGAAAGAGAUAUAGUGACCUUUGAAAGAGAGCAGGCCUUCCUUGAGAAGACAAUGUUGACCCAUGAGAGAUCCAUAGACAGUGUAGUCACCUCUGCAAAAGGAACUUUUGUGCACACAACCACCGUGUCUGUAAACAAUUUCUGAAUCAUAACAAGAAGUAUGAAUUGCCCAUCAUGUUUAAUUAUAUUGAUGCAUAAAAGUGAGAA
Mastomys coucha (southern multimammate mouse) is the source of this 384-nucleotide long non-coding RNA. RefSeq lists it as uncharacterized. The record is from RefSeq and is a predicted model, not a curated record. Lineage: Eukaryota; Metazoa; Chordata; Mammalia; Rodentia; Muridae. The transcript is spliced from 2 exons.